CCCUUAGAUGUCCUGGGCCGCACGCGCGCUACACUGGCACACGCAACGAGUCUAUCACCUUGGUCGGCAGGCCUGGGUAAUCUGUGAACGUGUGCCGUGAUUGGGAUUGAUUGUUGCAAUUUUCAAUCAUGAACGAGGAAUUCCUAGUAAACGCGAGUCAUCAGCUCGCAUUGAUUACGUCCCUGCCCUUUGUACACACCGCCCGUCGCACCUACCGAUUGAAUGGUCCGGUGAAGCGUUCGGACCGUGGCCUUUGGACGGUUCGCCGUCUGUUGGCUGCGGGAAGUUCGUUAAACCUUAUCAUUUAGAGGAAGGAGAAGUCGUANCA
Molecule: ribosomal RNA, 328 nt
Filed under: uncultured eukaryote
Lineage: Eukaryota
Description: partial 18S ribosomal RNA
Rfam family: Eukaryotic small subunit ribosomal RNA
Source: RNAcentral